This 453-nucleotide ribosomal RNA is filed under the name uncultured marine eukaryote. Its description in RNAcentral is "SSU rRNA". It matches the Rfam family "Eukaryotic small subunit ribosomal RNA", at positions 101 to 555 of the family's 1831-position model. The record is from RNAcentral.
UUAAAUCAGAAAUAAUUUAUUUGAUGGUGACCUACUACAUGGAUAACCGUAGUAAUUCUAGAGCUAAUACAUGCGCAUAAGCACAGCCUCCGGGCUGUUGCUGUAUUUAUUAGAUAAAAAACCAAACCCUUCGGGGCUUUGUGCUGAAUCAUAAUAACUGUUCGAAUCGCACGCUCACGCUGGCGAUAGUUCAUUCAAAUUUCUGCCCUAUCAGCUAUUGACGGUAGUGUAGUGGACUACCGUGGCAUUAACGGGUAACGGAGAAUUAGGGUUCGAUUCCGGAGAGGGAGCCUGAGAAACGGCUACCACAUCCAAGGAAGGCAGCAGGCGCGCAAAUUACCCAAUCCCGACACGGGGAGGUAGUGGACAAGAAAUAGCGGAUUCCGGGCCUUUUUAGGUCUGGUUAUUGCAAUGGACGUAUUGUAAAUGCCUACGUGAGUAUCCAUUGGAGGG